RNAcentral lists this ribosomal RNA (433 nucleotides) under uncultured bacterium. RNAcentral describes it as "partial 16S ribosomal RNA". It matches the Rfam family "Bacterial small subunit ribosomal RNA", at positions 29 to 507 of the family's 1533-position model. The record is from RNAcentral.
AACGAACGCUGGCGGCAUGCCUAACACAUGCAAGUCGAACGAGACCUUCGGGUCUAGUGGCGCACGGGUGCGUAACGCGUGGGAACCUGCCCUUAGGUUCGGAAUAACUCCCCGAAAGGGGUGCUAAUACCGGAUAAUGUCUUCGGACCAAAGAUUUAUCGCCUUUGGAUGGGCCCGCGUUGGAUUAGCUAGUUGGUAGGGUAAAAGCCUACCAAGGCGACGAUCCAUAGCUGGUCUGAGAGGAUGAUCAGCCACACUGGGACUGAGACACGGCCCAGACUCCUACGGGAGGCAGCAGUGGGGAAUAUUGGACAAUGGGCGAAAGCCUGAUCCAGCAAUGCCGCGUGUGUGAUGAAGGCCUUAGGGUUGUAAAGCUCUUUUACCCGGGAUGAUAAUGACAGUACCGGGAGAAUAAGCGCCGGCUAACUCCGUG